UUCGAUGAUACGCGAGAAACCUUACCAAGGGCUUGACAUAUACAGGAAUGUUGUAGAGAUACAGCAGCCGCUUGCGGUCUGUAUACAGGUGCUGCAUGGCUGUCGUCAGCUCGUGCUGUGAAGUGUUGGGUAAGUCCCGCAACGAGCGCAACCCUAUCAUCUGUUGCCAGCAUUUAAGGUGGGGACUCAGAUGAGACUGCCGGUGACAAACCGGAGGAAGGUGGGGACGACGUCAAGUCAUCAUGGCCCUUAUGUCCUGGGCUACACACGUGCUACAAUGGCCGGUACAGAGUGAAGCGAAACCGCGAGGUGAAGCAAAACGCAGAAAGCCGGUCUCAGUACGGAUUGGAGUCUGAAACUCGACUUCAUGAAGUUGGAAUCACUAGUAAUCGCGCAUCAGCAUGGCGCGGUGAAUACGUUCCCGGGCCUU
Molecule: ribosomal RNA, 430 nt
Filed under: uncultured Spirochaeta sp.
Lineage: Bacteria; Pseudomonadati; Spirochaetota; Spirochaetia; Spirochaetales; Spirochaetaceae
Description: bacterial SSU rRNA
Rfam family: Bacterial small subunit ribosomal RNA
Source: RNAcentral